Molecule: ribosomal RNA, 1479 nt
Filed under: Triticum aestivum (bread wheat)
Lineage: Eukaryota; Viridiplantae; Streptophyta; Magnoliopsida; Poales; Poaceae
Description: partial small subunit ribosomal RNA
Source: RNAcentral
AUGGAGGUUGCCAUAUCUGUAGUCACGGGUGAACUAGUGAGCCGUUUCAUCUCCUUCCUGAUGAACAAGUACUACUCACCCUUGAGCGAUGCACAAUCAGAGGAAAAGCUGGUGGGGAGAUUGCAACACCUCCUGAUGCGAGUCAGCAUCGUCAUCGAGGAGGCAGAUGCGCAGUACAUAACAAAUUCUGGGAUGUUGUUGCAGCUAAAGAUGCUCUCGGAGGCCAUGUACAAAGGAUACCACGUGCUGGACACCUUGAGGUACCAAACACUCCAAGACAGUGCAGGCUUUGAUGAGGUUAGCAUCAACGACUCAUCUAGUAGCAGCUCGUAUCUAGCCAUUCCUUUCAAGCGUUCUCGAACAAGAAGUAAGAAGGAUGACAGGGCCAUGCGCCUCGAGUCAGAUGGUGCCUUGGAAGGCUUAGAAAUUGUUGUUGCUAACAUGGCAGAAUUUGUUGUGCUUCUGGCUGGAUGCGAGCGCCUGUCUCAUAGGGUAUAUGAUGUUUAUCUUUACACUAGCAACUUCAUGUUUGGCCGACAUGCUGAAAAGCAAAAGCUCUUGAGCUUCUUGUUGGAGAAGAACAGCCCUCCUGGUGAUCAUGCACUAGCAGUUCUUCCGGUCAUAGGUGGUGUUGGAGUUGGAAAGAAAACAUUGGUUGCUCAUGUAUGUGGCGAAGAAAGGGUUCGCUCACGCUUCUCCUCUAUUUUGAACUUAAAUGGAGACAACCUCUUGACCAUACUUAACCAUGGAAGGAACAUGUUUGGGACGAUGUUGGUAGUUAUUGAGUUAACUUCUGAUGUAGGUGAUGAUGAUUGGAAAAAGUUUCAUUCAUUUCUCAUAAGAAUCAGCAGAGGAAGCAAGAUCAUAAUCAUAAGUAAACUUAAAAGAUUAGCCCGGCUUGGAUCGGUGCAGCCUAUUUUCCUAAGUGCUCUGUCCUAUGACGAGUUGAGCUACCUUUUCAAAACACUGGCAUUCGGGAGUGUAUACCCCACUGAACAUCCACGGCUAGUACAGCUAGCUGAUGAGUUUGCCAAGGAGUUGCACAAUACACAUAGUUCACUCCUUGCAGCAAAUAUGUUUGCCGAUGUGUUGAGAAGGAACCUCGAUGUUCACUUUUGGCGUUGCAUACUGGACAAGGGGCUAAGACACGUUAGAAGAAACCUCUCCAUGUAUGGUGCGCACCCAAGCACGCUUAUAGAACAAGGCCAUCCAGUGGACAUAACAGAUUUUGCUUCACAUCCACUUACCAUGACAAGUUAUACUGCUAGUGUUUCUAUCAAGGAAGAAUCACCAAGUGUGACACUGGGGGAACUUCUAGCAGAUCCUAGUGUUAUACCCAAAAAAGAUUUUAUUCUAAUUUCAUGGGAAUCAAGGAUACCACCUCAUAACUCAUUUGCUCGUUUUGUUACAAGUUGUGUUCAGGACACACAUGAAGGUAGUUCUUUGCCAGGGAGGAAGCGACGAGGAGUGCCAAUCUAA